This 533-nucleotide ribosomal RNA is filed under the name uncultured bacterium. RNAcentral's name for it is "bacterial SSU rRNA". It matches the Rfam family "Bacterial small subunit ribosomal RNA", at positions 28 to 573 of the family's 1533-position model. The record is from RNAcentral.
GACGAACGCUGGCGGCGUGCUUAACAUAUGCAAGUUGAACGGGACGGAUAUUGAAGCGACUUUUCGGAGUGGUGGAUAUAUUUGUUUAGUAGCGGACGGGUGAGUGAUGCAUGAGAACCUGCCCUUCAGAGGGGGACAACAGUUGGAAACGGCUGCUAAUACCCCAUAUGCCGAGAGGUGAAAGGAGCGAUCCGCUGAAGGAGUGGCUCAUGUCCUAUCAGCUAGUUGGUGAGGUAAGUGCUCACCAAGGCGAUGACGGGUAGCCCGGCCUGAGAGGGCGACCGGCCACACUGGAACUGAGAUACGGUCCAGACUCCUACGGGAGGCAGCAGUGGGGAAUAUUGGCAAUGGGCGGAAGCCUGACCCAGCGACGCCGCGUGAGGGAAGAAGGCCUUUGGGUCUUAACCUCUGUUGUAUGGGAAGAAGGAAGUGACGGUACCAUACGAAGAAGUCCCGGCUAACUACGUGCCAGCAGCCGCGAUAAUACCGUANGGGACGAGCGUUGCCCGAAUUAUUGGCGUAAAGGGCGCGUA